This 227-nucleotide unclassified non-coding RNA is filed under the name Hevea brasiliensis (rubber tree). Lineage: Eukaryota; Viridiplantae; Streptophyta; Magnoliopsida; Malpighiales; Euphorbiaceae. The record is from RNAcentral.
GAAGAACUUCUCCUAUGAUCUGCCCAACACUUUGGAGGGACUUCAGAUCAUCCUCAGUUUUGGUGAACUCUUUUUUUGCAGCUCUUAAAUUCUCUCUCCCUGUGCGAAGCCGGGAAUUGAGUUCCUUGUGAUUUAGGGAUUUCUUCCUGUACUCGCUGGCAGCGGCUCUGCGGCGAGCUGCUUCGUCGGAUCCGUCGGCCAUGGCUUACUUCUUCGACAAGGAUCGA